AUGGAGGACGUGGACACCGUCAUUGGGAACGUCGCCGAGGAGGCCGCGGCGAAGACCGAAAAGAUUGCCGCCGAGGAGGCCGCCAAGGAUGCUGCCGAGGACGCCGCCAAGGGGCCUGCUGGGGAGGCCGGCGAGGCUACUGCCGAGGAGGACGGUGAGGGACCUGCCAGGGAGGCCGGCAAGGCCGCCGCUGAGGAGGAGGCGGUCGAUGACCAGCCUUCCUCCUCCGCGGCCUCUAGCUCCGGCAGGUAUCUGAAGGUGGGCGAUGACCUUUUCGUCCAUCUCCUAGGGGCAUCGAGCUCCAAGACACCCGUCGAGGGAGAAGUUUUCGACGAGGAGAUGCUUGUUGCCACUGGGCUCGAGGUUGUUGACGAACCGAGCACCGGUGGCGACGGCUCCCAGGAAGAGAGGCUUCUCCAUGCCAUGGGGGCCAAUUUCCGAAAGCUUCAGGCACUCCACCGCGCCCGUCUGGACAAGGCCAAGUCCAGGAUGGCAACAGUGGACAAGGCGGAGGUGGACUUCAAGGCGCGCGUUGCCGAGACGCAGACUUGGUUCCGCCAGGCUCGUGAGGAGCUGAAGGUUGCCCAGGAUGAGAUGGCCAAGCGCGACGUGGAGCUCACCAUGAAGCUGGCUGACAUCGAGAAGGCUCAGGGGACGGCGGAGAACUUGGCCGCCGCAGCCGAGGCUGCCCGAACACAACACCAAGCCGUGCUGAACUCCUAG
This 723-nucleotide ribosomal RNA is filed under the name Triticum aestivum (bread wheat). RNAcentral's name for it is "partial small subunit ribosomal RNA". The record is from RNAcentral. Lineage: Eukaryota; Viridiplantae; Streptophyta; Magnoliopsida; Poales; Poaceae.